UAUAUUAUAUUAUAUAAAUAAGUAAAGAAACAUAAGAAACAGAAUGAAAGCAAAUGAAACAGAGAAGAAACAGGGGAGAAAGAAAGAAAGAAAAAGAAAAAGAAAAAGAAAAAGAAAAAGGAAAAUUUGGGUUUCAAGGCUCAAAGUUUAAUUUGCCGAAUAUGAAGGCUUGAGAAUCCAUGGAAGAAGCUUCCAACUUUCAGCUAAUGCAUGAUCAAGAUCGGGUGGAAAAUCGAGAAAAAUGAGAAAAUUACCAAAAUGCUCCUGAACUUUGAUGACUCUACAAUUUAGCCAGGUAAGUUCGUAUGCAAUAAGCAUUGUUAAAUUGAUGUUUCUAAUGCUUUAAUAUUGUAUAAAUUGUAUAUACGUGAAUAUUUUAAUGUCUGACGACAUAUCGACAAAAUGUGGCACUUAGUGUGCGGGGCAAUCAAAUAUGGUACUCAAUGUACGAAAUAUUGAGAAUGGCACUUAGUGUGCGAGAUAUUGAGAAUGACACUUAGUGUGCAAAAUAUCGAAUGAUUCAAAGGGAAAUUAUAAAUUGUGAUUGAAUGAUU
Molecule: long non-coding RNA, 554 nt
Organism: Gossypium arboreum
Lineage: Eukaryota; Viridiplantae; Streptophyta; Magnoliopsida; Malvales; Malvaceae
Exons: 3
Source: RefSeq, a predicted model, not a curated record